AUGCAAUAUAUAACAGAAUGUCAACAAAACAAUCAUGGACCUCGAUGUCGAGUGGUGAAUGAAAUGGAUGCAUUGUUGAUUUUUAUUGAGAAUGUGUUCCCAAACCCUAUAACUUCAAAGCUAGCCAUAGAGGGUUUGAACAGCCUAGGUGUGGAGACCAUAGAUGACCUACAGUUUUUGAAAGAUGAUGAUCUAGGUGGCUUUCUGAGACCGAUUGAAGCAAGAAAACUAAUAGCCCAAAUCCCAAAUAUUGCCUCCACUCUGCAAAACACUGCCAAUGAUUUGUCUGCUGAAUAUAAUUCUGAUGCAUCAGGUUCACCUGCUCCUGGAUGCUCAGUUUCACCAUCCAGCUCUUCAAGUGGAAGACGUGACAGUAGCUGUGAAACUUCGUUUUAUGACCAUGACUGGCAUUAUAGUUUUGAUGUUCCAUGGCAAAAAAUGCCAGCAAGUUUUAUGGGAAAUUUGCAUAAUGGCGAAAGGCCAAGUUGCUCUGAGAGAAGACAGUUGGUCCGCAUUGUUGCUUCUGAGAUCCUGGAAGUCAGCAAAUGUCCAGAAAAAAAACAUGUAUCAGAAAUAGCCCGACAAAUGGUGAUUGCAUACCCAAAGUCUUUCAGAGAUGAGAUUAAUUCCCAGGUUGUAGGAAGUGGAUAUGAUUCUCUCCUCAAACAACUGGUGUGUAGAAUUGACAAUUUGAAAAGAGCAAAAGCUAUUAGUAUACCACUUUGUGGUACUCUAGAAGUAUCAACAAAGAAAUGA
RNAcentral lists this long non-coding RNA (756 nucleotides) under Carassius auratus (goldfish). Its description in RNAcentral is "lncRNA (ENSCARG00000041746.1)". The record is from RNAcentral. Lineage: Eukaryota; Metazoa; Chordata; Actinopteri; Cypriniformes; Cyprinidae.